RNAcentral lists this small RNA (363 nucleotides) under Pongo abelii (Sumatran orangutan). RNAcentral's name for it is "processed transcript". Lineage: Eukaryota; Metazoa; Chordata; Mammalia; Primates; Hominidae. The record is from RNAcentral.
GGCGGUGAUGAAGACAAAAUUGAACAUCUACAACAUGCAGUUGCUGCUUUUUGUUUUCUUGGUGUGGGACCCUGCCAGAGACCAAUCAGGAAGAACUAGGCUCUAAGGAUCUCUGCAGCUGUGUAUGUGUUGCUGAUGCUUUCAGAGCCCACCUCCACCUCCUGGCUACAUGGAGCCUGGCACAUAGCCAGUGGAGUUUCCCUGAUGCUUAUAUUGUACUUGGCCAUUGGGUGGAGGUAUACCCAAAGUUGGUGCUGGCUAACAUCCAAGAAGAUGAAGCUAAAAAUAACAUUACCAUCUUUACGAGAAUUCUUGACAGACUUCUGGAUGGUUACGAUAAUCGGCUUAGACCAGGACUGGGAG